Molecule: long non-coding RNA, 269 nt
Filed under: Elaeis guineensis (African oil palm)
Lineage: Eukaryota; Viridiplantae; Streptophyta; Magnoliopsida; Arecales; Arecaceae
Description: long non-coding RNA (EGUI_LNC014137)
Source: RNAcentral
GGCAAAUACUACUAUAGGCAGCUCCAAAUCAUGGAUAAGAUAGUUCUACUCAUAUGCUUUUAGGCUAUCUGAGGCAUAUGCUACUAUCUUUCCAUUUUACAUAAGAAUACAUCUAACUUCUUUCUAGAGGUAUCACUAUAGAUAGAAAAAUCUCUACUUUCAGAUGGUAGAGUAAGGAUAGGAGUUGAUACAAUGAACUUCUUCAAUUCUUAGAAGCUUCUAUCAUAUUCCUUUGUCCAAUCAAAUUUAGUUUCUUUGUGAGUCAGCUG